This 497-nucleotide ribosomal RNA is filed under the name uncultured bacterium. RNAcentral's name for it is "partial 16S ribosomal RNA". It matches the Rfam family "Bacterial small subunit ribosomal RNA", at positions 28 to 507 of the family's 1533-position model. The record is from RNAcentral.
GACGAACGCUGGCGGCGUGCCUAAUACAUGCAAGUCGAGCGAACAGACGCGGCGCUUGCUCCUCUGACGUUAGCGGCGGACGGGUGAGUAACACGUGGAUAACCUACCUAUCAGUCUGGGAUAACUUCGGGAAACCGGAGCUAAUACCGGAUAAUAUCUUGAACCGUAUGGUUCAUUAGUGAAAGACGGUUUUGCUGUCUCUUCUAGAUGGAUCCGCGCGGCAUUAGCUAGUUGGUACGGUAACGGCUUACCAAGGCAACGAUGCGUAGCCGACCGGAGAGAGUGAUCGGCCACACUGGAACUGAGACACGGUCCAGACUCCUACGGGAGGCAGCAGUAGGGAAUCUGCCGCAAUGGGGGGAAGCCUUACGGAGCAACGCCGCGUGAGUGAUGAAGGUGUUCGGAGCGUAAAACUCUGUUAUUAGUGAAGAACAAAUGUGUAAGGAACUAAGCACGUCUUGACGGUACCUGAUCAGAAAGCCACGGCUAACUACGCG